Molecule: ribosomal RNA, 471 nt
Filed under: Curvularia hawaiiensis
Lineage: Eukaryota; Fungi; Ascomycota; Dothideomycetes; Pleosporales; Pleosporaceae
Description: eukaryotic LSU rRNA
Rfam family: 5.8S ribosomal RNA (bases 102-255)
Source: RNAcentral
UUGUUGUUUCCUGGGCGGGUUCGCUCGCCACCAGGACCACAAUAUAAACCUUUUUUAUGCAGUUGCAAUCAGCGUCAGUAUAACAAAUGUAAAUCAUUUACAACUUUCAACAACGGAUCUCUUGGUUCUGGCAUCGAUGAAGAACGCAGCGAAAUGCGAUACGUAGUGUGAAUUGCAGAAUUCAGUGAAUCAUCGAAUCUUUGAACGCACAUUGCGCCCUUUGGUAUUCCAAAGGGCAUGCCUGUUCGAGCGUCAUUUGUACCCUCAAGCUUUGCUUGGUGUUGGGCGUUUUUGUCCCCCCCAAAAGGGGGACUCGCCUUAAAAGGAUUGGCAGCCGGCCUACUGGUUUCGCAGCGCAGCACAUUUUUGCGCUUGCAAUCAGCAAAAGAGGACGGCAAUCCAUCAAGACUCCUUCUCACGUUUGACCUCGGAUCAGGUAGGGAUACCCGCUGAACUUAAGCAUAUCAAUAA